Molecule: long non-coding RNA, 303 nt
Organism: Helianthus annuus (common sunflower)
Lineage: Eukaryota; Viridiplantae; Streptophyta; Magnoliopsida; Asterales; Asteraceae
Exons: 3
Source: RefSeq, a predicted model, not a curated record
CGAUCAGGAGGGCUCCAAGGAGCCAAAACCCUAACUCAAUCCAAUUCAUCAAAUUGAAGGUCGAUUUCAGUCUUAAAUCAAUGCAUGGACACAAAUUCGUGAUCACCUAAGCAUAGGGAUCGAAAGUUUGACGCUAAACGAGCUAGGUGGAAGCUUGAGGACGAAACGGGUCAAACGAAUCAAUAAGGAAAAGUAAAGCAUAGUUCUGAUGCAAGGUAUAUCUUGGAAUGUCGGGUGAUGAUCAAGCUCAUCGAAGAACCGAACACGAUCUAGAUACAAGCUUCCGCACACCGUUUCGUUGUA